Transfer RNA from Firmicutes bacterium CAG:227, 112 nucleotides. It matches the Rfam family "tRNA". Rfam says of the family: Transfer RNA (tRNA) molecules are approximately 80 nucleotides in length. Their secondary structure includes four short double-helical elements and three loops (D, anti-codon, and T loops). Further hydrogen bonds mediate the characteristic L-shaped molecular structure. tRNAs have two regions of fundamental functional importance: the anti-codon, which is responsible for specific mRNA codon recognition, and the 3' end, to which the tRNAs corresponding amino acid is attached (by aminoacyl-tRNA synthetases). tRNAs cope with the degeneracy of the genetic code in two manners: having more than one tRNA (with a specific anti-codon) for a particular amino acid; and 'wobble' base-pairing, i.e. permitting non-standard base-pairing at the 3rd anti-codon position. The record is from Rfam. NCBI's taxonomy places the organism in Bacteria, Bacillati, Bacillota.
AGUGAGGUAGCUUAAUGGUAAAGCACGAAAAAGUGUUUCAUGUUUGUGGAACAUACAGCAAUUUAUUCCAGGAGAAGAGGACGAAGUGCAGGUUCGAGUCCUGCCCUCACUC